RNAcentral lists this ribosomal RNA (253 nucleotides) under uncultured bacterium. RNAcentral describes it as "partial 16S ribosomal RNA". It matches the Rfam family "Bacterial small subunit ribosomal RNA", at positions 524 to 776 of the family's 1533-position model. The record is from RNAcentral.
UACGUAGGCAGCAAGCGUUGUUCGGAAUUACUGGGCGUAAAGAGUGUGUAGGCGGUGCUCUAAGUUCGGUGUGAAAUCUCCUGGCUCAACUGGGAGGGUGCGCCGGAAACUGGGGUGCUGGAGCGCGGGAGAGGAAAGCGGAAUUCCUGGUGUAGCGGUGAAAUGCGUAGAUAUCAGGAGGAACACCUGUGGUGUAGACGGCUCUCUGGACAGUAACUGACGCUGAGACACGAAAGCGUGGGUAGCAAACAGG